GACGAACGCUGGCGGCGUGCUUAACACAUGCAAGUCGAACGGAAAGGCCUGCUUUCCCUUGUGGAUUGCGGGUACUCGAGUGGCGAACGGGUGAGUAACACGUGAGUGAUCUGCCCCCAACUUGGGUAUAAGCCUGGGAAACUGGGUCUAAUUCCCGAUAGGACUGCAGGGUGGUGCCUGUGGUGGAAAACGAUUUUCUAGUGGCUGGGGAUGAGCUCGCGGCCUAUCUGCUUGUUGGUGGGGUAAUGGCCUACCAAGGCGGCGACGGGUAGCCGGACUGAGAGGGUGGACGGCCACAUUGGGACUGGGAUACGGCCCAGACGCCUACGGGAGGCAGCAGUGGGGAAUAUUGCAGAAUGGGCGGAAGCCUGAUGCAGCGACGCCGCGUGGGGGAUGACGGCCUUCGGGUUGUAAGCUCCUUUCGACCGCGAGGAAGCCACCUGGUUGGAAGGGUGGUGACGGUAGUGGUAGAAGAAGCACCGGCUAACUACGUG
Molecule: ribosomal RNA, 494 nt
Filed under: uncultured bacterium
Lineage: Bacteria
Description: partial 16S ribosomal RNA
Rfam family: Bacterial small subunit ribosomal RNA
Source: RNAcentral